UGUUAAAAAUUGAAUUCCACCGAACACUAUAUCCUUCUAUUUUGUCAUCAACGUCUUACAACAAUAGACACUGAAUAUACCCAUUUUAACAUCAUAGCAUUUAAUAAAAUCAUUUAAUAUUUCUACAUAAACAUUAGGUUUUCAACUUAAUAAAAUAUCCAUACACCAAGUCAAGGUCAUUGCAAUGACUUACAUAAAUGACAAAAAGAUGAUAAAUAACAACAAUAUAAUAUUAUCUCAAUCUUUAACUUCAACAAGCUAACAUCUUCUGAAUAUUGAAUUUGAGAAUUCACAAUCAAAAUUGAUCUUUCUCAUUACUUUCUGUUUAAUAAUUUUUUUGUUUUUUAAUUUAAUUUUUGAACUUAACACAGUGUAUGUAAGUUGGGCCAAUUAGUCUCAAAAUCAAGCAUGUCAUCAAUUAAUUUAAUAGUUGAUUAGUACAAACAUCUAAGGUACAUUUCCUUAUCAAUUUCAUUGUAAAAAUUUUCAAUUUUCCUUUCAAUAUGUUUAAAAUAUUCAUGUUUCAACGUCAGCUGUCAACGUCAACGCAGAACAGAUAAAAGCAGAUUUGAAUAUCCGACCUUGUCAGUCAGCUGUUGUUACUAGGCCAAGGAUGGACGGGUGAUAUCGACACCCGGACCAUGAAAAAAGUUUAUGUGUUUUUUUGUGCAACGUGUAUGUGGCCGUUUCUUUCUGUUUUUUUGCUGUUUGCUGUUGUACGGAGGACUAAGCUAGCAUUCAAAAUUUAAAAAUCAAAUGUACAUUCCUAAGAUGCACUUUUUUACACCUCUAUGUAGCGGUACUUUUUUAGUAUUUGACCAUUAGCUCCGAUGAUGACGUUUAUGUCGAAAGCGCUCAGCUAAGGAAAUAAAAUUAUUUACACACUUUGA
Molecule: long non-coding RNA, 890 nt
Organism: Diabrotica virgifera virgifera (western corn rootworm)
Lineage: Eukaryota; Metazoa; Arthropoda; Insecta; Coleoptera; Chrysomelidae
Exons: 2
Source: RefSeq, a predicted model, not a curated record